This 587-nucleotide ribosomal RNA is filed under the name uncultured bacterium. RNAcentral's name for it is "bacterial SSU rRNA". It matches the Rfam family "Bacterial small subunit ribosomal RNA", at positions 338 to 916 of the family's 1533-position model. The record is from RNAcentral.
CCUACGGGAGGCAGCAGUAGGGAAUCUUCCACAAUGGACGAAAGUCUGAUGGAGCAACGCCGCGUGAGCGAUGAAGGCCUUCGGGUCGUAAAGCUCUGUUGUUAGGGAAGAACAAGUACCGGAGUAACUGCCGGUACCUUGACGGUACCUAACCAGAAAGCCACGGCUAACUACGUGCCAGCAGCCGCGGUAAUACGUAGGUGGCAAGCGUUGUCCGGAAUUAUUGGGCGUAAAGCGCGCGCAGGCGGUUCCUUAAGUCUGAUGUGAAAGCCCCCGGCUCAACCGGGGAGGGUCAUUGGAAACUGGGGAACUUGAGUGCAGAAGAGGAGAGCGGAAUUCCACGUGUAGCGGUGAAAUGCGUAGAGAUGUGGAGGAACACCAGUGGCGAAGGCGGCUCUCUGGUCUGUAACUGACGCUGAGGCGCGAAAGCGUGGGGAGCGAACAGGAUUAGAUACUCUGGUAGUCCACGCCGUAAACGAUGAGUGCUAAGUGUUAGAGGGUUUCCGCCCUUUAGUGCUGCAGCAAACGCAUUAAGCACUCCGCCUGGGGAGUACGGCCGCAAGGCUGAAACUCAAAGGAAUUGACGG